This is a long non-coding RNA of Panthera uncia (snow leopard), 417 nucleotides long. RefSeq lists it as uncharacterized. The record is from RefSeq and is a predicted model, not a curated record. The transcript has 3 exons. Lineage: Eukaryota; Metazoa; Chordata; Mammalia; Carnivora; Felidae.
AGGUAUACUGUUGGAUCUGUCAGAUAGAGGCAAAUGAAACCUAUAUUCCUUACAAGAUGGUAUGGACAAAAGGGCGUUGGCUGGGGCCAUGGCUCCAUACCAAGUGCCAGGAGCUGUGUUUGUGGGCUCCAAGAAAGAAUGACAGCGGGGGGAGCAGCUGCGGUUGGAGUCACUGCAUGAAUAAGUUUAGAAUCAUUCAUAGUCAUCCUCCAAGAUCCACCUGACUUCUGCACAAUCCAAGCUGAUGUUUACCAUGAGCCAUGUGUUCAUUUAUCCAAAGGGAUGAGACUACGCACCUCUGUCACUUGGGGAAGGAAGCAGGCAAGUGCCAAGGACAGAGAAGCUGGGGGUUGGAAGCUGGGUCCGCCAAAGGAAACCAAAGGGACUGAGCCUUUGGAAGGCAGAACAGAGAGAGCA